This 492-nucleotide ribosomal RNA is filed under the name uncultured bacterium. RNAcentral describes it as "partial 16S ribosomal RNA". It matches the Rfam family "Bacterial small subunit ribosomal RNA", at positions 29 to 507 of the family's 1533-position model. The record is from RNAcentral.
AGUGAACGCUGGCGGUAGGCCUAACACAUGCAAGUCGAACGGCAGCACAGUAAGCGCUUGCUCUUACGGGUGGCGAGUGACGGACGGGUGAGGAAUACAUCGGAAUCUACUUUUUCUUGGGGGAUAACGUAGGGAAGCUUACGCUAAUACCGCAUACGUCCUACGGGUGAAAGCAGUGGAUCUUCGGACCUUUCGCGAUUCAAUUAGCCGAUGUCGCAUUAGCUAGUUGGCGGGGUAAAGGCCCACCAAGGCGACGAUCCGUAGCUGGUCUGAGAGGAUGAUCAGCCACACUGGAACUGAGACACGGUCCAGACUCCUACGGGAGGCAGCAGUGGGGAAUAUUGGACAAUGGGCGCAAGCCUGAUCCAGCCAUACCGCGUGGGUGAAGAAGGCCUUCGGGUUGUAAAGCCCUUUUGUUGGGAAAGAAAAGCAGCAGGUUAAUACCCCGCUGUUCUGACGGUACCCAAAGAAUAAGCACCGGCUAACUUCGUG